This 433-nucleotide ribosomal RNA is filed under the name uncultured bacterium. Its description in RNAcentral is "partial 16S ribosomal RNA". It matches the Rfam family "Bacterial small subunit ribosomal RNA", at positions 29 to 507 of the family's 1533-position model. The record is from RNAcentral.
AGCGAACGCUGGCGGCAGGCCUAACACAUGCAAGUCGAACGGAUCCUUCGGGAUUAGUGGCGGACGGGUGAGUAACACGUGGGAACGUGCCCUUUGGUUCGGAACAACUCAGGGAAACUUGAGCUAAUACCGGAUGUGCCCUUCGGGGGAAAGAUUUAUCGCCAUUGGAGCGGCCCGCGUCUGAUUAGCUAGUUGGUGAGGUAACGGCCCACCAAGGCGACGAUCAGUAGCUGGUCUGAGAGGAUGAUCAGCCACACUGGGACUGAGACACGGCCCAGACUCCUACGGGAGGCAGCAGUGGGGAAUCUUGCGCAAUGGGCGAAAGCCUGACGCAGCCAUGCCGCGUGAAUGAUGAAGGUCUUAGGAUUGUAAAAUUCUUUCAGCGGGGACGAUAAUGACGGUACCCGCAGGAGAAGCUCCGGCUAACUUCGUG